UUUAGAAACGUCAUAGGUGGUCCCUGUGCUUUCAAAACUUUUGAUAGUUGGUCCUUAUCCCUAACUCCGUUAAGUUUUAUCUGUUAACUGCAACGCAUUUUCAUCAUUUCAAUACCAUAGGGACCGUUUAUGAUGUUUUCUCAAAAAUGAAAUAAUAUGCAAGGGUCUCUCUCUCAUUGACUGUCAAAGUCCUCCAUAGGAGGAGCUCAUUUCUAUAAAAACAAGAGGGACAUCAAAAAUGUUUUCCUUCUUCUCUACCUAUCAAUCAAAGCAAAUAAACAGCCCCCUGAAUACCAUUGAUGCUGGUCCUUCUUCUUCCAUCCCAUAGGCCAUGACAACCUUUCUCCUUCUCUUAUUUCUUUCUAUUUCGAUGCACAACCAAGAACACCUCCAUUGGAGGUGGUUUUCUUAUGGGUACCUGGUAAGCUCAGGAGCAGCAACCCUUCCAUUAUAUCUUCUAUUUUCCCAUGUGAACUCAAGAAACAACCCAAGCAAACCCAAACACCCAAAUUAUUCCUAUCAAACAGUCAAACGAAAGGAAAACGGAAGAGAACCAAUUACCGAUCGGAGCAAAACCCCUUAAGUCGCGAUCUACUAAACCCCCGAGACCAUUCCUCCUCCAAUUGGAGAAGCACAAUCCCAAACACCCCAUUGAUCGGCGUUUGCAGCCACCCUCCUCCUUACUGUUUUGUUGCAAGAAGUAUCUGAGAAAGAACCCAAGAAGAACAGUCGGAGGUACCGACUGCUAUCACCUUCACGACCCCACGCGUUUCCCCGAUCAGAACCACCCAACCCACCCUAAAAAUUUACUGAUGUUAUUAUUGCUCUCUGUCGGCUCGUUACCGGCAAAGAAGCAAAAGGGAUCAAGAGGAGCUCACCAGAGAAGUCGAUUCCCCCUCCUCAUGACCGUAUAACCCUCAUCAAGCCAUUGUCGUUGGCUUCCUGCUUCCGAUCUUGCUCUUUUCUUAGAUCUAUCUUUGAACUGCUGUUUCUUCCUGUGGAUUGUGACCAUCGACAGCGUGAGAGAAACCUUGGAGGCUCACCAGGAUUUUGCCCAUUCUCCCUGCUGCUCCGUUUGCCUCUUCCUUGUCCCGAUCAAUUAUGGAUGGAGACAUGGUCCCCUGUGAUCAUGAAAAGAUGAAAAUGCCCUUUAGUUAACGGACAAACAUAAUGGAGUUACUAAUAAGGACCAUCUGUCAAAACUUCUGUAAGCACAGGGACCAUCUAUGAGGUUUUUAAACCACGGUGACUAAACUUUAGAUUUUCGGAAACCACAAGGACCAUUUAUGAUGUUUUUUUCUUAAUAAUAUACUAAUAUAAUAUUUAUUAAUAUAUAAAUAUUAUAUAUUAAAAAUAAAAUUAACUGAUAUAUAAUAAUCAGAUAAAAAAUUAAUCCAAUAAAAAAAUUUAAAAAAGAAUUAAUAUAUAAUAGUUCAAUAAAAGAAAGAAAAAUUAAUAUAAAAUAAUUUAAUAAAUUUAAAAAGAAGAAUUGCAAAAAUGGUCCUUGUAAUUUGGUAAAAAGAGAUAACUGCAAAAAUAGUACCUAAGGGUAAAAUUGUCAUUUUAAAAAAGUUAACAGCCAAAUGCUAAAGUUAACGAAAUAGAGACCUAAACCACAACUAAACCACCAAAUAACAACCUUUUUUGCUAAUAAUUUUUUUUUUAGAUCUUACCCAAAGAAAUUGGCAAACCACAGGACACUUUUUCAAUUUUGUUCAAUAAAAUUUACACUAAAAUAUUAAAAAAAAAACUAUUGUGUGAUAUCCAUUUCUUGGUUUUUUUUUUAUAUAUAUUACGAAAAAAUAUAUAUAUCCACAAACAAGUUGCAUUAGUUUUAGAAGACAAAUUCAAUAAUUGAGUUUAAUACCUGUGAUUUCAUUGGAGUCGGCGAUUGUUAAACCUAAACAAAAACACCCACAAAAGAACUCAACGCAAGUGGGGGAGAAGGAGAUAAAAACCAUUUAAGCAUAGAUAAAACAAAAACAUUGAUUGGGGCUUCUUGCUUAUCAUUUGCAAGUUUGACAAUAGCAAGAUUGGUUGUAUGUUGGGCUUAAUCAAUAAAAAAAAUAAUUUUCAAACAUCACCUCAUAAUGCCCGUUUGAGUAGUUCAAAUCACCCUAUGAAGAGUUAAAAAGAACACACCUUUAGACAACAAAUUAGUGAAGAAAUCAAGAAUACAUGAAUAAAGAGAAAUGGGUGAUGGGAGAAUUUUAUUAUGUGAACUAACCCUACCAACAUGAUGAGAUUAAGGAGCAAAAUCAAAAUAACUUACCUCAUCUAAGGAGUCGCAGAGCCAAUCCAUUAUUGGAACACCUUCAAGAAACCUAACCCAAAAAUAAGCAAUUCACAGAAACUGAUCUGGAAUAAGGGCGUCGACGGUCGACCAAUAAUUUCAAGCCAUGCAGUCUCCUGAAAAAAACAUAGCAUCCACCACAGCUGAAAACCCACAUGAUUUGUUACUCGACUCCAGCGAUGUUGUUAGAUGCACGCGACUCAGCUGCCUAGACCGCUGCAACGUCAGCUGUCCCGAGCUAGAAAAGAAUCGUAUGCCUUCAAGAACCGUAGUAAUGGAGCAUCAGGAGUACUGUCGGCAACGUCAGCUGUCUUGGUUAUAUGUGAACAGCUAAAAGAAGAUGUUAGAGAAUCAAAGAUACAACUAUUUUUCC
Molecule: long non-coding RNA, 2666 nt
Filed under: Lactuca sativa (garden lettuce)
Lineage: Eukaryota; Viridiplantae; Streptophyta; Magnoliopsida; Asterales; Asteraceae
Description: long non-coding RNA (LSAT_LNC000373)
Source: RNAcentral